Mustela lutreola (European mink) is the source of this 1016-nucleotide long non-coding RNA. RefSeq lists it as uncharacterized. The record is from RefSeq and is a predicted model, not a curated record. NCBI's taxonomy places the organism in Eukaryota, Metazoa, Chordata, Mammalia, Carnivora, Mustelidae. The transcript is spliced from 3 exons.
GGUCGACUUUUCCCCGGAAGUGUCAAAAAAACGUCUUUUUUGCUUCAGUUCACUCAGACCAGCGCAGACCCGUCGCUGGGUCCAGGGGCCUGCUCUGCCGGCCCGUCCGUGGUGGGUGCGCCGCGUCACAGCUGCGUGUAGUCCCACUGUGCGCCCGCCUCGCCCACCUUAGGCCGAACCGGGGACGCACGACGCCCGAGUCGAUACCCGGACAGGACGCCGCUGCGGAGCACAACCGUCGGCUUCCCCGAGGCCGUUCUGUUCCUUCUGUCUGGCUUCCACGUAUUCUCUUCGUUUGCAAAAUAGCGACGCUGCGUAACAUUCCCGGAGUAUCUUACUGAACUAACACCCUUCUUGCGCCGACGUGAGAUGAUAAAACGCCUAGGUGGUGACAUGAAGCCCGGGAACAACUGGUGCCCAACCUAACGUCAGGUACUGCUGACCGCGCGCCGGGCCGCUCUGCUUCGGGACCGGGGCUGACCCUGUGAAACUGAAGCCACGGGAAACUGUGGAUGAGGAGACACCGCCAUACUCAGAAAUGACAACUCUUAUUAUUUGCUGAUAAUAAGAAUGAUAGUGCUUGCGUCCAUGGGGAAUUUUCUCAAAAUUUACGUGAGUGAUUCUCAGGGAGGAAGAAAGUCCAUCUGAAAGAGGAGGUAUCAUUAAGUUAAAGAUUUAAUGAAAUCAUCCUGAAUUACUUGGACCCUAAAUCCAAUGAUAAGUGUCCUUAUAAGAAACAGAAGAGGAGAAGGCAACAGAGAAGGAGAAGACGGCCACGUAAAGACAGAGGCCAAGAAGAUAUGAGAAAUGCCAACAGCUACCAGAAGCCAGAAGAUGCAAGGAAGGCUUGUACUCCAGUCUUCCCAGAGGGAGUACAGCUCUGACAACAUCUUGGUUUUGGACUCUGGCCUCCACACUAUGAGGGAAAACUUUUCUGUUGUUUUAAACCACAUGAUUUGUGGUAAUUUGUUAUGGUAACCCUAGGAAAUAAAUACACCACCUUAAUCAAAUGAUCA